Molecule: ribosomal RNA, 556 nt
Filed under: Pseudocyphellaria coriifolia
Lineage: Eukaryota; Fungi; Ascomycota; Lecanoromycetes; Peltigerales; Lobariaceae
Description: LSU rRNA
Rfam family: Eukaryotic large subunit ribosomal RNA
Source: RNAcentral
CUUUGGAAAGAGAGUCAAACAGUACGUGAAAUUGUUGAAAGGGAAGCGCUUGCAAUCAGACCGGUCCGGGGGUGAUCAGCCGCUGCUCGUCAGCGGUGCACUCGCCCUCGAUCCGGCCAGCAUCGGUUUGGGCGGCGGGAGAAAAGUCCCGGGAAUGUAGCUUCUCUCGGGGAGUCUUAUAGCCCGGGUCGGCAUGCCGCCCGCCUGGACCGAGGACCGCGCUUCGGCUAGGAUGCUGGCGUAAUGGUUGCAAGCGACCCGUCUUGAAACACGGACCAAGGAGUCUAACAUCUAUGCGAGUGUUUGGGUGUCAAACCCGGGCGCGGAAUGAAAGUGAACGGAGGUGGGAACCCGUCAGACGGCGCACCAUCGACCGAUCCAGAUGUCUUCGGAUGGAUUUGAGUACCAGCAUAGCUGUUGGGACCCGAAAGAUGGUGAACUAUGCCCGGAUAGGGUGAAGCCAGAGGAAACUCUGGUGGAGGCUCGCAGCGGUUCUGACGUGCAAAUCGAUCGUCAAAUCUAGGCAUAGGGGCGAAAGACCAAUCGAACCAUCUAG